This 479-nucleotide long non-coding RNA is filed under the name Salvia miltiorrhiza (redroot sage). Its description in RNAcentral is "long non-coding RNA (SMIL_LNC002078)". Lineage: Eukaryota; Viridiplantae; Streptophyta; Magnoliopsida; Lamiales; Lamiaceae. The record is from RNAcentral.
AAUAUGAUAUUCAAGAUUUCUGUUUUUCAUUCUUCACUUGGACCUUUGUGCCUUUAUUGUAAGAAGUUUAUUGUUGAUUGAAUCGAAAUCAAGGUUAAUUUUUUAGAAAAGUGUUGCUUGGACAGGUGCAGGGGAAAAGGAGUAAAUGCUUUAUAGCUUCUUGUAGUAAUACCUUGUGUGAUCCAUGAGGUUUGUCAAAUAAUCCAUAAAAUUUAUAUCUCUCUAUUGUAAUAUCUAAAUAAUGCAUAUAACUCUUUAAACUACUUUGCUUUGUAGAUUGACAAGUGAAAGGACAAUAUUGGUUAUGAAGACCUUUGUUACUUUUGGAUAUGAUGUUCCAACGGCUACUAUUUUGAACUUUUUUUGUUUGUAUUAGUUUAGGGUGGAUUUAAACAUUAAUCCAAACUUGUAGGAUAUUGUAUUAUAUAAUAUGGAUGUAAGAUUGUUAAUGUUGGAUAAUUAAUUAUGGAUAUGUUAUU